RNAcentral lists this long non-coding RNA (550 nucleotides) under Olea europaea subsp. europaea. Lineage: Eukaryota; Viridiplantae; Streptophyta; Magnoliopsida; Lamiales; Oleaceae. The record is from RNAcentral.
CAAAAUAGAAAGAGAACCAAGGAACAUAGUGAAACCAUAUUUGACCUUUAACUUUAAUAGAUCUUGCAAACCCUCCCUCUAAAAGAGUUUCAUUGCAUACCGGCCACUCAUAUUGAAGCAAAGGUCAUAUAGAAUCAAUGGUUGAUAUGCUAGCAUAAAUUCAUAAAUUCUAUUAUCAUUAACCAAAAUAGAACGAAUGAACAGAAAACACAAGGAAACAUGUUAUCUUUUCAUACUUCAUCCAUUAAUUAUUAUUAACGUCGAUGGGGAAAAGAAUAUUAACGAGUAUGCUAAGCAAGCACUUAUUGAAGAAGCUAAAUAAUCUUCUUUAAAAGUUUUAGCAAGUCCAAAAUCCCCCAUAGCAGAACAAGAAGCAAGGAAGAAGAUUAUUAGUAGGGAGUACGUUAGUUUUGAAGUGAAUAAAAGACAUAAAUUUCAAAUUCAUCCAAACAAUCAUCUUGAUCUUUAGCAAGAAAGAUGCUGGAGCACUGCCGAGAAAAUGUUAUGGAAAUCAGCCCAAAAAAGCAUUUAAGAUACGANAUUUGAUGAA